This 423-nucleotide ribosomal RNA is filed under the name uncultured bacterium. RNAcentral describes it as "partial 16S ribosomal RNA". It matches the Rfam family "Bacterial small subunit ribosomal RNA", at positions 360 to 775 of the family's 1533-position model. The record is from RNAcentral.
AAUUUUGGGCAAUGGGGGAAACCCUGAUCCAGCAAUGCCGCGUGCAGGUUGAAGGCCUUCGGUUUGUAAACUGCUUUUUUACGGAACGAAAAGUCUUUGGCUAAUACCUUGGUAUCAUGACGGUACCGUCUGAAUAAGCACCGGCUAACUACGUGCCAGCAGCCGCGGUAAUACGUAGGGUGCAAGCGUUAAUCGGAAUUACUGGGCGUAAAGCGUGCGCAGGCGGUUUUGUAAGACAGUGGUGAAAUCCCCGGGCUCAACCUGGGAACUGCCAUUGUGACUGCAAGGCUGGAGGGCGGCAGAGGGGGAUGGAAUUCAGCGUGUAGCAGUGAAAUGCGUAGAUAUGCGGAGGAACACCGAUGGCGAAGGCAAUCCCCUGGGCCUGCACUGACGCUCAUGCACGAAAGCGUGGGGAGCAAACAG